GUGUAGUAUACCUGUCUAUUUCAGGGUGCCUUCAUCAUGACGAGGAAGUCCAUCCUGUGGCGAGGGUCUUAGCGGUCGAGUGGGCGUUCCCUUCCCUACUGGCCUGCUAAGUCCCAAGCCUCGGGGUGGAAUAGCUUCGGAGCUGAGAAGAAACUGCUGGACGAAGAUAUUGUACUAGCA
Molecule: microRNA precursor, 180 nt
Filed under: Plutella xylostella (diamondback moth)
Lineage: Eukaryota; Metazoa; Arthropoda; Insecta; Lepidoptera; Plutellidae
Description: microRNA pxy-mir-193 precursor
Gene: pxy-mir-193
Source: miRBase by way of RNAcentral